This 253-nucleotide ribosomal RNA is filed under the name uncultured bacterium. RNAcentral describes it as "partial 16S ribosomal RNA". It matches the Rfam family "Bacterial small subunit ribosomal RNA", at positions 524 to 776 of the family's 1533-position model. The record is from RNAcentral.
UACAGAGGUCCCAAGCGUUGUUCGGAUUCACUGGGCGUAAAGGGUGCGUAGGUGGCCGGUUAAGUCUGACGUGAAAUCUCCGAGCCUAACUCGGAAACUGCAUCGGAAACUAUCCGGCUCGAGGGUUGGAGGGGGGACUGGAAUACUUGGUGUAGCAGUGAAAUGCGUAGAUAUCAAGUGGAACACCAGUGGCGAAGGCGAGUCCCUGGACAACUCCUGACACUGGGGCACGAAAGCUAGGGGAGCAAACAGG